This is a non-coding RNA of Mycena capillaripes, 100 nucleotides long. The record is from the annotation of a GenBank genome assembly. Lineage: Eukaryota; Fungi; Basidiomycota; Agaricomycetes; Agaricales; Mycenaceae.
GCACCUGUGGGGCAUCGGCAGCCCACCGCCCUUCGAUUACCUCGCAAGCAAAGUCGAACUUGGAUGGGCGGAGAGCGGGGUUCGACUCCCCGUGGGUGCA